UAGGGAAUCUUCGGCAAUGGACGAAAGUCUGACCGAGCAACGCCGCGUGAGUGAAGAAGGUUUUCGGAUCGUAAAACUCUGUUGUUAGAGAAGAACAAGGACGUUAGUAACUGAACGUCCCCUGACGGUAUCAAACCAGAAAGCCACGGCUAACUACGUGCCAGCAGCCGCGGUAAUACGUAGGUGGCAAGCGUUGUCCGGCUUUAUUGGGCGUAAAGCGAGCGCAGGCGGUUUCUUAAGUCUGAUGUGAAAGCCCCCGGCUCAACCGGGGAGGGUCAUUGGAAACUGGGAGACUUGAGUGCAGAAGAGGAGAGUGGAAUUCCAUGUGUAGCGGUGAAAUGCGUAGAUAUAUGGAGGAACACCAGUGGCGAAGGCGGCUCUCUGGUCUGUAACUGACGCUGAGGCUCGAAAGCGUGGGGAGCAAACAGG
This 429-nucleotide ribosomal RNA is filed under the name Gemmatimonadota bacterium. RNAcentral describes it as "Gemmatimonadetes bacterium partial 16S ribosomal RNA". It matches the Rfam family "Bacterial small subunit ribosomal RNA", at positions 355 to 776 of the family's 1533-position model. The record is from RNAcentral. Lineage: Bacteria; Pseudomonadati; Gemmatimonadota.